Pseudoliparis swirei is the source of this 305-nucleotide long non-coding RNA. RefSeq lists it as uncharacterized. The record is from RefSeq and is a predicted model, not a curated record. The transcript has 4 exons. Lineage: Eukaryota; Metazoa; Chordata; Actinopteri; Perciformes; Liparidae.
GACUGGAAGCUGUGCAAUAAAGACUUAAGUUGUGAAAAGUCUCAUUUUGUCUUCUGAAGAACAAUAAGAGAAAGUGCUGACGUCAACUGCCGGAGGGAGGGGCCGUUCACUAAAGGUGUUUGCCGAGUUCAACCGGAUCUCCACCACAAACCUGCAUAAUAACUUCUUUGAUGCUCUGGACCGCUUCACAUCCCGCUUUGUAGCAAUCUACAAGUCCAAGAAAGGAAGCGUUGGAGAGACAUUGGCUGAGUUAUUGCAGCAAAUUGAUUUGCGGACAUCAGAUGUGACGGCAAUGCGAACCCUCG